ACAGGGUUAGCUCAGUCGGUAGAGCAUCCACUUUGAGUCAGAUGGUCAGGGGUUCAAGUCCCUAAUCCCUGUA
Molecule: transfer RNA, 73 nt
Filed under: Biomphalaria glabrata
Lineage: Eukaryota; Metazoa; Mollusca; Gastropoda; Planorbidae
Description: tRNA-Lys
Rfam family: tRNA
About the family: Transfer RNA (tRNA) molecules are approximately 80 nucleotides in length.
Source: RNAcentral